Molecule: long non-coding RNA, 2022 nt
Organism: Leptopilina boulardi
Lineage: Eukaryota; Metazoa; Arthropoda; Insecta; Hymenoptera; Figitidae
Exons: 9
Source: RefSeq, a predicted model, not a curated record
UUUUAUUAACUUUAAAUAAUUUAAUUAAUCUUAUUAAAAAUUUUUUAAUUUUGCAAAGUAAAUUUUUUAUUUAAUUCUUAAAAGUUAAUGCAUGUGGAAUUAAAAAUUAAAAGGUUUUGAUAAUUUUUUUAAUAAUGAACUAAUUAAAUGUUUUCUUUUCAGAAAAGAUCGCUCAGGUGACGGUUGCGUCCCGGGACGUUAACCCUAGUGUAGGUAAUUUGCACCUGGGCGGUAUUAGUUUCGUUUAGAAUAUAAAUGUAGGUAGGAAAUUCGGAAAAAAUAGGCAUUUAUGUUCGUUUUAAAUACAGCAAUAGGUAGGGAAAUCGGGUAAAAAAAUGUAAGUAAAAAAGCAAGUAACUGGAGUACCAGUGAAAAUUUGCUUCAUUUCAUUCUUUUAUUCUUUUUGUCACUAUGUUGUCUUAUAUUUUAAUGUUAUGUAAAUGUUUUGUGUAUGUUUUCUAAGUGUUUUGUGUAUGUUAUCUAAGUGUUUUGUGAAUGUUUUCUUUAAUUGAUAAUUAUUUUCAGUCGAAUCAUCGUGGUGAGAAAUAAUAUUUCUUUUUAAUUAUAUUAAUCAUUUUUUUCAGGAAUGUGUAAUUUUUUUGUUCAUAGUCUUAAUAUAUAAAUAUGUAUAUGUAUUUAUUAUAUUAUAUUUAUCAUAAGUGAAUAUUUUAUUAAUUGAAUUUAAAUAUUAUAAAUUUUUUUUGUUUAUCUGCUAUAUUGAAAAUUUUUCGGGUAUUUUUUGUAAAUGUUAUUAAUUUUUUUUACAUUUUUUACAGUGAGUAUUAUAUUUCAAGUAAGUAAAUUUUCGAGAUAUUGCUAUGAAAUAGAAACAAUAUGUUUAUUAAUAAAAUUUUUUAUCUUUUUUUUACAGAACUGGAAAAAGAAUUCGUUUACUUAAGAAGAAUGAGAGGGACGUUUAUUUCAUCAUUUCACGCCAUUAAAAUUCCUGAUCGGUGGAAAAGAGGAUGACUACGAGGACUUUUUGUUAGUCACAACUAAUCUACCCCUAAAGAAAGUUGAUUAUGAGGAUCACGCGAGACCAAAAAGACAAUGAGAUCCAGGAUAAUCAGGAGGAAGCUGUCGCUUGAAAAUUGGCGUCAGUGUAUUGUCAUAAAAAUUAGCGAUCGAUUUCAGUUGAAUGGAUAGAAAAAAUGUGGACGCCGCGUAGGAUUCAAUAAUCAACUGAAGGACAGGAAAGAGAAUUCAAACAAUAGUGACCAGAAAAAGAAAUAAAUGAAUCUUCGCUUCAAACGAGAGAAUCCGUAAUUAAAAAUGCUGUUCACGAGUGACGAUCAAAAUGGAAAUCAGGAUUACAUAAUGCGGCGAUUUUAAGCUUCUGGAUUAUUUUGAUGACUACAAUACUGCAAUGGCGUACAAAAAUUCAGAUUCGUGAUCAUGGACAUUUUUGAAGCAUGCAUUAUUUUCUAAUCGUACACGGGCCAGUUUGAUGAUAUCCUUUUGCGGUGCAUCUUUAUAUAUAGAGUACAUUGCGCCAGGACUUUUAAUUACAAAGUCCUGUGACUUCUGGGAAAAGUGCUUGAUGUAAUAUUAAAAGGGUAAAAAGGGGUUAACGACUUCCACCGCAGACUAUUAGGAAAUGGCAAAAGCAGGACGCGAACCGUCUGGAGGGCAUUAGCAUAUCUACGAGAGCAGACCUAAAUUUCAAUUUCUUCAGCAUCCGUGCAAGACUCCUAUAGAAAACAUGUGAUGAAGGUGGGAAAAUUUGUCAUGUCAAAAAAACAAGGAAAAACGAAAUAAAAAUGUUUAAAAAGAGAUGAAGCCUGAUGACAAAAAAAAGGGAUCGAGAGAGAAAGAGAUAAUCCUUCCAUGACAUGGGGAUUUGUGUUAUUGUUCGGCUUUCGCAAAAAAAAAGGACUGGAAAACACGCAUGACAAUACUAAAAUAUUGAUGGAAUGAUAUUUUCGUGUAUAUGAAUUUUCAAGACAAGAAUAUCAUUUUCAAAAGAUUUCUCUCUUUGAUGUAUAGAUAUCAAAAUUCAUAUUAUAUACAUAAAAAUUGUAA